RNAcentral lists this ribosomal RNA (253 nucleotides) under uncultured bacterium. RNAcentral describes it as "partial 16S ribosomal RNA". It matches the Rfam family "Bacterial small subunit ribosomal RNA", at positions 524 to 776 of the family's 1533-position model. The record is from RNAcentral.
UACGUAGGGUGCAAGCGUUGUCCGGAAUUAUUGGGCGUAAAGAGCUCGUAGGCGGUUUGUCGCGUCUGCUGUGAAAACUCGGGGCUUAACCCCGGGCCUGCAGUGGGUACGGGCAGACUAGAGUGCGGUAGGGGAGACUGGAAUUCCUGGUGUAGCGGUGAAAUGCGCAGAUACCAGGAGGAACACCGGUGGCGAAGGCGGGUCUCUGGGCCGUAACUGACGCUGAGGAGCGAAAGCGUGGGGAGCGAACAGG